RNAcentral lists this ribosomal RNA (611 nucleotides) under uncultured Porphyromonas sp. RNAcentral describes it as "bacterial SSU rRNA". It matches the Rfam family "Bacterial small subunit ribosomal RNA", at positions 260 to 871 of the family's 1533-position model. The record is from RNAcentral. Lineage: Bacteria; Pseudomonadati; Bacteroidota; Bacteroidia; Bacteroidales; Porphyromonadaceae.
ACGGCUCACCAAGGCGACGAUGGGUAGGGGAACUGAGAGGUUGAACCCCCACACUGGUACUGAGACACGGACCAGACUCCUACGGGAGGCAGCAGUGAGGAAUAUUGGUCAAUGGGCGAGAGCCUGAACCAGCCAAGUCGCGUGAAGGAUGACUGUCUUAUGGAUUGUAAACUUCUUUUAUACGGGAAUAACAAGAGUCACGAGUGACUCCCUGCAUGUACCGUAUGAAUAAGCAUCGGCUAACUCCGUGCCAGCAGCCGCGGUAAUACGGAGGAUGCGAGCGUUAUCCGGAUUUAUUGGGUUUAAAGGGUGCGUAGGCGGCCUGUUAAGUCAGCGGUGAAAUCUAGGAGCUUAACUCCUAAAUUGCCAUUGAUACUGGCGGGCUUGAGUGUAGAUGAGGUAGGCGGAAUGCGUGGUGUAGCGGUGGAAUGCAUAGAUAUCACGCAGAACUCCGAUUGCGAAGGCAGCUUACUAAGGUACAACUGACGCUGAAGCACGAAAGCGUGGGUAUCAAACAGGAUUAGAUACCCUGGUAGUCCACGCAGUAAACGAUGAUAACUGGGCGUAUGCGAUAUACAGUAUGCUCCUAAGCGAAAGCGUUAAGUUAUCCA